CCAGACUCCUACGGGAGGCAGCAGUGAGGAAUCUUCCACAAUGGGCGAAAGCCUGAUGGAGCAACGCCGCGUGCAGGACGAAGGCCUUCGGGUUGUAAACUGCUUUUAUAAGUGAGGAAUAUGACGGUAACUUAUGAAUAAGGAUCGGCUAACUACGUGCCAGCAGCCGCGGUCAUACGUAGGAUCCGAGCGUUAUCCGGAGUGACUGGGCGUAAAGAGUUGCGUAGGCGGUUGUAUAAGUGAAUAGUGAAAUCUGGUGGCUCAACCAUACAGGCUAUUGUUCAAACUGUACAACUUGAGAGUGGUAGAGGUCACUGGAAUUUCUUGUGUAGGAGUGAAAUCCGUAGAUAUAAGAAGGAACACCGAUGGCGUAGGCAGGUGACUGGACCAUUUCUGACGCUAAGGCACGAAAGCGUGGGGAGCGAACCGGAUUAGAUACCCGGGUAGUCCACGCCGUAAACGAUGGAUACUGGCUGUUGGAGGUAUCGACCCCUUCAGUAGCGAAGCUAACGCGUUAAGUAUCCCGCCUGUGGAGUACGGCCGCAAGGCUAAAACAUAAAGGAAUUGACGGGGGCCCGCACGAG
This 584-nucleotide ribosomal RNA is filed under the name uncultured bacterium. Its description in RNAcentral is "bacterial SSU rRNA". It matches the Rfam family "Bacterial small subunit ribosomal RNA", at positions 331 to 929 of the family's 1533-position model. The record is from RNAcentral.